Molecule: ribosomal RNA, 253 nt
Filed under: uncultured bacterium
Lineage: Bacteria
Description: partial 16S ribosomal RNA
Rfam family: Bacterial small subunit ribosomal RNA
Source: RNAcentral
UACGGGGGGUGCGAGCGUUAAUCGGAUUUACUGGGCGUAAAGCGCGCGUAGGCGGUUUGGUAAGUCAGAUGUGAAAUCCCCGGGCUCAACCUGGGAAUGGCAUUUGAUACUGUCGAACUCGAGUGUGGUAGAGGGAAGUGGAAUUCCGCAUGUAGCGGUGAAAUGCGUAGAUAUGCGGAGGAACACCAGUGGCGAAAGCGACUUCCUGAACCACCACUGACGCUGAGGCGCGAAAGCGUGGGGAGUAAACAGG